GAUGAAGAACGCAGCGAAAUGCGAUAAGUAAUGCGAAUUGCAGAAUCCGUGAGUCAUCGAAUCUUUGAACGCACAUUGCGCCCUCUGGUAUUCCGGGGGGCAUGCCUGUCCGAGCGUCAUUAUAACCCCUCAAGCUCAGCUUGGUGUUGGGGCCUGCUGCACUGGCAGCCCUUAAAAUCAGUGGCGGCGCCAUCUGGCUCUAAGCGUAGUAAUUCUUCUCGCUAUGGAGUCCUGGUGGAUGCUUGCCAUCAACCCCCAAUUUUUCUAUGGUUGACCUCGGAUCAGGUAGGGAUACCCGCUGAACUUAAGCAUAUCAAUAAGCGGAGGA
RNAcentral lists this unclassified non-coding RNA (328 nucleotides) under soil metagenome. RNAcentral's name for it is "partial contains 5.8S ribosomal RNA, internal transcribed spacer 2, and large subunit ribosomal RNA". The stretch from base 1 to 119 matches the Rfam family "5.8S ribosomal RNA", at positions 35 to 154 of the family's 154-position model. The record is from RNAcentral.